GUUAUUGAAUAUAAAGAAAAGACGAACAGCUCAGUAACUCUUAUUUUAUUUGAUGUAUUAGGAUUAUAACUAUGUUAAAUUAUAGAUAACAAUAAUACAAUAAGAAUAAGAUCUAUCAGUUAGUUGUUAAGGUAAUGGCUUAACAAGACUAUGACGGAUAACGGUAUUACUUUGUAAUAUUCCGGAGAAGGAGCCUGAGAGAUUGCUACUAAGUCUAAGGAUUGCAGCAGGGGCGAAACUUGACCUAUGAUAUGAUAUUGAGGCAGUUAUGAGUAGUAUUUUUAAUUAUUGUAGUAUUGUAAGUAUAUACUACAAGAUAAAUCGGAGGGCAAAUCGAGUGCCAGCAGCCGCGGUAAUACUUGUUCCGAUAGUGUGUAUGAUGAUUGAUGCAGUUAAAAAGUCUGUAGUUUAUGAUUAAUAAGCAUUGUGAGGUAUAUUGUAUGGUUAGGAGAGAGAUGAAAUGUGAUAACCCUAACUGGAUGAACAGAAGCGAAAGCUAUAUACUUAAAUGUAUUAUUAGAACAAGGACGUAAGCUAGAGGAUCGAAGAUGAUUAGAUACCAUUGUAGUUCUAGCAGUAAACUAUGUUAAAUCAUAGAUACAUUUUAAUAUGUAUUUAUGUAAAGAAAUUAAGAUUAUAUUGACUCUGGGGAUAGUAUGAUCGCAAGAUUGAAAAUUAAAGAAAUUGACGGAAGAAUACCACAAGGAGUGGAUUGUGCGGC
Molecule: ribosomal RNA, 721 nt
Filed under: Nosema granulosis
Lineage: Eukaryota; Fungi; Microsporidia; Nosematidae
Description: partial small subunit ribosomal RNA
Rfam family: Microsporidia small subunit ribosomal RNA
Source: RNAcentral